GUAAGGUUAAGCCUCACGGUUCAUUAGUACCGGUUAGCUCAACGCAUCGCUGCGCUUACACACCCGGCCUAUCAACGUCGUCGUCUUCAACGUUCCUUCAGGAGACUUAAAGUCUCAGGGAGAACUCAUCUCGGGGCAAGUUUCGUGCUUAGAUGCUUUCAGCACUUAUCUCUUCCGCAUUUAGCUACCGGGCAGUGCCAUUGGCAUGACAACCCGAACACCAGUGAUGCGUCCACUCCGGUCCUCUCGUACUAGGAGCAGCCCCCCUCAAUUCUCCAGCGCCCACGGCAGAUAGGGACCGAACUGUCUCACGACGUUCUAAACCCAGCUCGCGUACCACUUUAAAUGGCGAACAGCCAUACCCUUGGGACCUACUUCAGCCCCAGGAUGUGAUGAGCCGACAUCGAGGUGCCAAACACCGCCGUCGAUAUGAACUCUUGGGCGGUAUCAGCCUGUUAUCCCCGGAGUACCUUUUAUCCGUUGAGCGAUGGCCCUUCCAUUCAGAACCACCGGAUCACUAUGACCUGCUUUCGCACCUGCUCGCGCCGUCACGCUCGCAGUCAAGCUAGCUUAUGCCAUUGCACUAACCUCCUGAUGUCCGACCAGGAUUAGCUAACCUUCGUGCUCCUCCGUUACGCUUUGGGAGGAGACCGCCCCAGUCAAACUACCCACCAGACACUGUCCGCAACCCCGGUAAGGGGCCAACGUUAGAACAUCAAACAUUAAAGGGUGGUAUUUCAAGGUUGGCUCCACGCAGACUGGCGUCCACGCUUCAAAGCCUCCCACCUAUCCUACACAUCAAGGCUCAAUGUUCAGUGUCAAGCUAUAGUAAAGGUUCACGGGGUCUUUCCGUCUUGCCGCGGGUACACUGCAUCUUCACAGCGAGUUCAAUUUCACUGAGUCUCGGGUGGAGACAGCCUGGCCAUCAUUACGCCAUUCGUGCAGGUCGGAACUUACCCGACAAGGAAUUUCGCUACCUUAGGACCGUUAUAGUUACGGCCGCCGUUUACCGGGGCUUCGAUCAAGAGCUUCUCCUUACGGAUAACCCCAUCAAUUAACCUUCCGGCACCGGGCAGGCGUCACACCGUAUACGUCCACUUUCGUGUUUGCACAGUGCUGUGUUUUUAAUAAACAGUUGCAGCCAGCUGGUAUCUUCGACUGGUCUCAGCUCCAUCCGCAGGGACUUCACCUACACACCAGCGUGCCUUCUCCCGAAGUUACGGCACCAUUUUGCCUAGUUCCUUCACCCGAGUUCUCUCAAGCGCCUUGGUAUUCUCUACCUGACCACCUGUGUCGGUUUGGGGUACGAUUUAAUGUUACCUGAUGCUUAGAGGCUUUUCCUGGAAGCAGGGCAUUUGUUACUUCAGCACCGUAGUGCCUCGUCAUCACACCUCAGCCUUGAUUAUCCGGAUUUGCCUGGACAAUCAGCCUACAUGCUUAAACCGGGACAACCGUCGCCCGGCUAACAUAGCCUUCUCCGUCCCCCCUUCGCAGUAACACCAAGUACAGGAAUAUUAACCUGUUUCCCAUCGACUACGCCUUUCGGCCUCGCCUUAGGGGUCGACUCACCCUGCCCCGAUUAACGUUGGACAGGAACCCUUGGUCUUCCGGCGAGCGGGCUUUUCACCCGCUUUAUCGUUACUUAUGUCAGCAUUCGCACUUCUGAUACCUCCAGCAUGCCUCACAGCACACCUUCGCAGGCUUACAGAACGCUCCCCUACCCAACAACACAUAGUGUCGCUGCCGCAGCUUCGGUGCAUGGUUUAGCCCCGUUACAUCUUCCGCGCAGGCCGACUCGACCAGUGAGCUAUUACGCUUUCUUUAAAUGAUGGCUGCUUCUAAGCCAACAUCCUGGCUGUCUGUGCCUUCCCACAUCGUUUCCCACUUAACCAUGACUUUGGGACCUUAGCUGGCGGUCUGGGUUGUUUCCCUCUUCACGACGGACGUUAGCACCCGCCGUGUGUCUCCCGUGAUAACAUUCUUCGGUAUUCGUAGUUUGCAUCGGGUUGGUAAGUCGGGAUGACCCCCUAGCCGAAACAGUGCUCUACCCCCGAAGAUGAGUUCACGAGGCGCUACCUAAAUAGCUUUCGGGGAGAACCAGCUAUCUCCCGGUUUGAUUGGCCUUUCACCCCCAGCCACAAGUCAUCCGCUAAUUUUUCAACAUUAGUCGGUUCGGUCCUCCAGUUAGUGUUACCCAACCUUCAACCUGCCCAUGGCUAGAUCACCGGGUUUCGGGUCUAUACCCUGCAACUUAACGCCCAGUUAAGACUCGGUUUCCCUGCGGCUCCCCUAUACGGUUAACCUUGCUACAGAAUAUAAGUCGCUGACCCAUUAUACAAAAGGUACGCAGUCACACCCGAAGGUGCUCCCACUGCUUGUACGUACACGGUUUCAGGUUCUUUUUCACUCCCCUCGCCGGGGUUCUUUUCGCCUUUCCCUCACGGUACUGGUUCACUAUCGGUCAGUCAGGAGUAUUUAGCCUUGGAGGAUGGUCCCCCCAUAUUCAGACAGGAUACCACGUGUCCCGCCCUACUCUUCGAGUUCACAGCCUGUGCAUUUUGGUGUACGGGACUAUCACCCUGUACCGUCGGACUUUCCAGACCGUUCCACUAACACACAAGCUGAUUCAGACUCUGGGCUGCUCCCCGUUCGCUCGCCGCUACUGGGGGAAUCUCGGUUGAUUUCUUUUCCUCGGGGUACUUAGAUGUUUCAGUUCCCCCGGUUCGCCUCGUUAACCUAUGUAUUCAGUUAACGAUAGUGUGACGAAUCACACUGGGUUUCCCCAUUCGGACAUCGCCGGCUAUAACGGUUCAUAUCACCUUACCGACGCUUUUCGCAGAUUAGCACGUCCUUCAUCGCCUCUGACUGCCAGGGCAUCCACCGUGUACGCUUAGUCGCUUAACC
Molecule: ribosomal RNA, 2904 nt
Filed under: Klebsiella pneumoniae subsp. pneumoniae Kp13
Lineage: Bacteria; Pseudomonadati; Pseudomonadota; Gammaproteobacteria; Enterobacterales; Enterobacteriaceae
Description: 23S ribosomal RNA
Source: RNAcentral